Molecule: ribosomal RNA, 457 nt
Filed under: uncultured Methanomicrobiales archaeon
Lineage: Archaea; Methanobacteriati; Methanobacteriota; Methanomicrobia; Methanomicrobiales
Description: bacterial SSU rRNA
Rfam family: Archaeal small subunit ribosomal RNA
Source: RNAcentral
AACAGGUGGAGCCUGCGGUUUAAUCGGACUCAAACGCCGGGAAACUCACCAGAUAGGACAGCUGAAUGAUAGUCGGGCUGAAGACUCUACUUGACUAGCUGAGAGGAGGUGCAUGGCCGUCGUCAGUUCGUACUGUGAAGCAUCCUGUUAAGUCAGGCAACGAGCGAGACCCACGCCAACAGUUGCCAGCUCGUCCUCCGGGAUGGUGGGGACACUGUUGGGACCGCCUCUGCUAAAGAGGAGGAAGGAAUGGGCAACGGUAGGUCAGCAUGCCCCGAAUUAUCUGGGCUACACGCGGGCUACAAUGGGUGGGACAAUGGGUAUCGACACCGAAAGGUGAAGGCAAUCUCCUAAACCCAUCCGUAGUUCGGAUUGUGGGCUGCAGCUCGCCCACAUGAAGCUGGAAUCUGUAGUAAUCGUGUCUCAAAAUGGCACGGCGAAUAUGUCCCUGCUCCUU